Molecule: ribosomal RNA, 465 nt
Filed under: uncultured bacterium
Lineage: Bacteria
Description: partial 16S ribosomal RNA
Rfam family: Bacterial small subunit ribosomal RNA
Source: RNAcentral
GACGAACGCUGGCGGCGUGCUUAACACAUGCAAGUCGAACGGAAAGGCCCCUUUGGGGGUACUCGAGUGGCGAACGGGUGAGUAACACGUGAGUAACCUGCCCUUGACUUCGGGAUAACUUCAGGAAACUGGGGCUAAUACCGGCUAGGAAUCCUUGCUGCAUGGUGGGGGUUGGAAAGCUUCGGCGGUUUUGGAUGGACUCGCGGCUUAUCAGCUUGUUGGUGGGGUAGUGGCUUACCAAGGCUUUGACGGGUAGCCGGCCUGAGAGGGCGACCGGCCACAUUGGGACUGAGAUACGGCCCAGACUCCUACGGGAGGCAGCAGUGGGGAAUAUUGCACAAUGGGCGGAAGCCUGAUGCAGCAACGCCGCGGGCGGGAUGACGGGCUUCGGGUUGUAAACCGCUUUCAGCAGGGGCGAAGCUUGUGGUGACGGUACCUGCAGAAGAAGCACCGGCUAACUACGUG